GACGAACGCUGGCGGCGUGCUUAACACAUGCAAGUCGAACGGCAAGGCCCUGCUUUUGUGGGGUGCUCGAGUGGCGAACGGGUGAGUAACACGUGAGUAACCUGCCCUUGACUUUGGGAUAACUUCAGGAAACUGGGGCUAAUACCGGAUAGGAGCUCCUGCUGCAUGGUGGGGGUUGGAAAGUUUCGGCGGUUGGGGAUGGACUCGCGGCUUAUCAGCUUGUUGGUGGGGUAGUGGCUUACCAAGGCUUUGACGGGUAGCCGGCCUGAGAGGGUGACCGGCCACAAUGGGACUGAGAGACGGCCCAGACUCCUACGGGAGGCAGCAGUGGCGAGUAUGGCCCAGUGGGCGGAAGCCUGAUGCAGCGACGCCGCGGUCGGGAUGACGGCCUGCGGGUUGUAAACCGCAUUCGCCUGUGACGAAGCGGGAGUGACGGUAAUGGGUAAAGAAGCACCGGCUAACUACGUG
This 468-nucleotide ribosomal RNA is filed under the name uncultured bacterium. RNAcentral describes it as "partial 16S ribosomal RNA". It matches the Rfam family "Bacterial small subunit ribosomal RNA", at positions 28 to 507 of the family's 1533-position model. The record is from RNAcentral.